Molecule: ribosomal RNA, 484 nt
Filed under: uncultured bacterium
Lineage: Bacteria
Description: bacterial SSU rRNA
Rfam family: Bacterial small subunit ribosomal RNA
Source: RNAcentral
AUUGAACGCUGGCGGCAUGCCUUACACAUGCAAGUCGAACGGUAACAGGUCUUCGGAUGCUGACGAGUGGCGAACGGGUGAGUAAUACAUCGGAACGUGCCCAGUCGUGGGGGAUAACGCAGCGAAAGCUGUGCUAAUACCGCAUACGAUCUGAGGAUGAAAGCGGGGGACCUUAGGGCCUCGCGCGAUUGGAGCGGCCGAUGGCAGAUUAGGUAGUUGGUGGGAUAAAAGCUUACCAAGCCGACGAUCUGUAGCUGGUCUGAGAGGACGACCAGCCACACUGGGACUGAGACACGGCCCAGACUCCUACGGGAGGCAGCAGUGGGGAAUUUUGGACAAUGGGCGCAAGCCUGAUCCAGCAAUGCCGCGUGCAGGAUGAAGGCCUUCGGGUUGUAAACUGCUUUGUACGGAGCGAAAAAGACUCUCUCUAAUACAGAGGGCCCAUGACGGUACCGUAAGAAUAAGCACCGGCUAACUACGUGCC